UGCCAGCCGCCGCGGUAAUACGGAGGGUGCAAGCGUUAAUCGGAAUUACUGGGCGUAAAGCGCGCGUAGGUGGUCUGUUAAGUCGGAUGUGAAAGCCCCGGGCUCAACCUGGGAACUGCAUUCGAUACUGGCAGACUAGAGUGCGGGAGAGGGAGGUAGAAUUCCAUGUGUAGCGGUGAAAUGCGUAGAUAUGUGGAGGAAUACCAGUGGCGAAGGCGGCCUCCUGGCUCGACACUGACACUGAAAGACGAAAGCUAGGGGAGCAAAUGGGAUUAGAUA
Molecule: ribosomal RNA, 279 nt
Filed under: uncultured bacterium
Lineage: Bacteria
Description: partial 16S ribosomal RNA
Rfam family: Bacterial small subunit ribosomal RNA
Source: RNAcentral